UCCAGCCACCAGAUCGGCCAUCACAGAAGGAAAACCAACCGAAGGAUAGUAGAAGGGAGCAGGAAACCGAGACUUGAAAGGCGCGCCGAUCUCCCAACCGUGGCUGCGGUGGGCGACACCGCCGGUGUAGAAAUGAAGGAGGAAGAUGGAAGUUGCCGAUCCUGCCAUCCACAUGCCUGACCUGUCAUCGGCAGCGCGUGUAACGCCCAGCUUCAGAUUCGGCAGAUUUGAAGAAAAUAGAGGAGAAGCAGAUCCGAAAACA
This 262-nucleotide long non-coding RNA is filed under the name Populus tremula. Its description in RNAcentral is "long non-coding RNA (PTRE_LNC000381)". The record is from RNAcentral. Lineage: Eukaryota; Viridiplantae; Streptophyta; Magnoliopsida; Malpighiales; Salicaceae.